UUCAGACUGACCUAUCCUCCCCAUCACACCAAGUGGGACUAACAGAGGAAGUGCUGUCUCCCAGGCUCUGGGUGUACUUGCAGCUUCCCAAGACUCAGUAGUGAACUGAUGGAGGCUGAUGGGAAAUACAGAAGACUGACAAUGUGGAACAAAAUAAAUCAAAACAAGGAAUUAAUUUCCUGAAGACACUGUGCACCAGUCAAGCAUGGUCUAUUGGGAAUGAAAAACAGGAGGAAGGAAAGCAGAGAAGGAUGUGCUAAUGUUAUGAUGUUUUAGCAAUAUUUUCAAGCCCUGAGUCCUUCUACCAAUCAUACUGUGUCAUUUAAAUUUAAGACUGUAAUAACAUUGGUUUACGGAAAUAUUUUCACUUGUGUGACUUCACUUGCUCCUGACGCCAGAGUUCAGAGGGUGUGUAAAUAAGAUGGGAAGAAGGACAUAAGAUCACUGACCAACUGCAACAGCAUCAACAAAAGCAGCUCAAAACGGUUAACAGGUUCAAGCUGAAACUGAGCUGAGAUUUGAAAAUCAGACUAGUCAAGACAAAAACGACUUCAAAAACAAUAUUCAGAGAAAGAAGAGUCAUGGAGACCUGGGCCUGGCACAGAACAACAAGGACACAGUGUAUGUGUGACUACUGACUCUGAUGCUAUUUAAGUUUUAUCCACCA
Long non-coding RNA from Sciurus carolinensis (gray squirrel), 667 nucleotides. RefSeq lists it as uncharacterized. Lineage: Eukaryota; Metazoa; Chordata; Mammalia; Rodentia; Sciuridae. The record is from RefSeq and is a predicted model, not a curated record. The transcript is spliced from 4 exons.